AGUCCUGUUAUUCGGUGUUUUCUGACAGCUUUCCCUGCAAGGGGCGAGGGAACUAAGGAAACUAACCACUGGCCAAGUUCAAGCACUGAGGGGAACAGGAAGCCUGUCUCUUCAGCCUGGAGAGAGGACUUUUGGGGCAUAGGAGGAGGUGCGCCGGGGUCAGGCCCCGCCUAUAGCCAAGGGAGAGAGCUGAAGGGAAGGUCUCCGUCCUCACCCCCACCUGCAUCCAGAGACAAACUUCAGGUAAGCCCUCCUGGGCUGGGGCCCUCUUGUAAGAUGAAAGUCUCCCUGGGAGAGGUGGGGCACUGUGAUCAAAACCUCAGCAUGAAUGAUUUUUUAUAUCACCCUGUGUAAGAGUGCAGGGGAGCAGAGACCCUGGGGGCAAGGGGCCCCAUUCCUGGCACCCGCCCAAAUGACCUCCAACUGGAAAACUGCCCUCUAAUUAGCAAUCAGGAAAUGAAGGUAUAGCACAGCGCCAAGGAGCACGACCCCGGCUGUAGCCUGGUGACAUUCCAGCCCUUGAGAUAGCAUGCCCCUGCCCCCGCACCGCAGGGCUGCAGACUCUGUGGGUUAUUUUUAUCUAAGGGCGCUAUUGUUGGUUGUGUGGUAGCUGCUGUGGUGGGUCCCAGCAGCGGUGAGCUUGCAGCCAGGAUUUCCUGUGCAG
This 664-nucleotide long non-coding RNA is filed under the name Capra hircus (goat). RNAcentral's name for it is "lncRNA (ENSCHIG00010008843.1)". The record is from RNAcentral. Lineage: Eukaryota; Metazoa; Chordata; Mammalia; Artiodactyla; Bovidae.